GGCCCUAUAGUUUAAUGGAUAGAAUGGAGGAUUCCGGUUCCUUUGGUCGCAGUUCGAUUCUGCGUGGGGCUA
RNAcentral lists this transfer RNA (72 nucleotides) under Bacteroidales bacterium. RNAcentral's name for it is "tRNA-Arg". It matches the Rfam family "tRNA". Rfam says of the family: Transfer RNA (tRNA) molecules are approximately 80 nucleotides in length. The record is from RNAcentral. Lineage: Bacteria; Pseudomonadati; Bacteroidota; Bacteroidia; Bacteroidales.